UAAUUCCAGCUCCAAUAGCGUAUAUUAAAGUUGUUGCGGUUAAAAAGCUCGUAGUUGGAUUUCUGUGGAGGACGUCCGGUCCGCACUUUGUGCGUGUAUCUGGUUCGGCCUCUGCAUCCUCCAGGGGAACGGCACUGCGCUUCAUUGCGUGGUCCGGUAUUCUGGACUUUUACUUUGAGGAAAUUAGAGAGUUUACGGCAGGCAAUCGCCUUGAAUACAUUAGCAUGGAAUAAUAAUAUAGGACCUUGGUUCUAUUUUGUUGGUUUCUAGAACUAAGGUAAUGAUUAAUAGGGAUAAUUGGGGGCAUUUGUAUUAACACGUCAGAGGUGAAAUUCUUGGAUUGUGUUACGACAAACUACUGCGAAAGCAUUUGCCAAGGAUGUUUUCAUUGAUCAAGAACGAAAGUGCGGGGAUCGAAGACGAUUAGAUACCGUCGUAGUCUGUACCAUAAACUAUGCCAACUAGAGAUUGGAGGUCGUUCUUUUUAUGACUCCUUCAGCAUUUUAUGAGAAAUCAAAGUCUUUGGGUUCCGGGGGGAGUAUGGUCGCAAGGCUGAAACUUAAAGGAAUUGACGGAAGGGCACCACCAGGAGUGGAGCCUGCGGCUUAAUUUGACUCAACACGGGGAAACUUACCAGGUCUAGACAUAGUAAGGAUUGACAGAUUGAUAGCUCUUUCUUGAUUCUAUGGGUGGUGGUGCAUGGCCGUUCUUAGUUGGUGGAGUGACUUGUCUGGUUAAUUCCGUUAACGAACGAGACCUUACCCUGCUAAGUAGUAAUGCGUAUCUUCGGAUAUGCAGCUAACUUCUUAGAGGGACUUUGCGAUUCUAAGCGUAAGGAAGUUUGAGGCAAUAACAGGUCUGUGAUGCCCUUAGAUGUUCUGGGCUGCACGCGCGCUACACUGAUGCGUUCAACGAGUUUAUAACCUUGUCCGGCAGGAUUGGGUAAUCUUCUGAAAACGCAUCGUGAUGGGGAUAGAUUAUUGUAAUUAUUAAUCUUCAACGAGGAAUUCCUAGUAAGCGCGGAUCAUCAGUUCGUGCUGAUUACGUCCCUGCCCCUUGUACACACCGCCC
This 1071-nucleotide ribosomal RNA is filed under the name uncultured eukaryote. RNAcentral's name for it is "SSU rRNA". It matches the Rfam family "Eukaryotic small subunit ribosomal RNA", at positions 580 to 1674 of the family's 1831-position model. The record is from RNAcentral.